This is a long non-coding RNA of Ailuropoda melanoleuca (giant panda), 245 nucleotides long. RefSeq lists it as uncharacterized. The transcript has 2 exons. Lineage: Eukaryota; Metazoa; Chordata; Mammalia; Carnivora; Ursidae. The record is from RefSeq and is a predicted model, not a curated record.
GUCGAAUCUCAAGAAUACAUUUAGUGGAAAAACACUGGAGUCUUCAGUUCCUAUGAUAAUGUCCCAUGCAUUUUUUGGUUGUUAUACAAGUAUGAGGAAAGCCAAUAUCAAGACGUCUUCGUCUAUCAGAUGCGUUUAAGCACAAUCUGACCUUUUCCAGGAAGAGUGAAGUUAGAAGGGUAUCAAGAAUAAAGGACGAGGAAGGCCUUGCAAAUGGUAACUCAGGGCCACAAAGAAAAAAAAAA